This 225-nucleotide ribosomal RNA is filed under the name uncultured Fastidiosipila sp. Its description in RNAcentral is "partial 16S ribosomal RNA". It matches the Rfam family "Bacterial small subunit ribosomal RNA", at positions 568 to 792 of the family's 1533-position model. Lineage: Bacteria; Bacillati; Bacillota; Clostridia; Eubacteriales; Oscillospiraceae. The record is from RNAcentral.
CGUGUAGGCGGCCUUUUAAGUUGGAUGUGAAACCUCGUGGCUCAACUGCGAGUGGUCAUCCAAAACUGAAAGGCUUGAGUGAUAGAGGGGAAAGUGGAAUUCCUAGUGUAGCGGUAAAAUGCGUAGAUAUUAGGAGGAACACCAGUGGCGAAGGCGGCUUUCUGGCUAUUAACUGACGCUGAGGCGCGAAAGCGUGGGGAGCAAACAGGAUUAGAUACCCCCGUA